This 873-nucleotide ribosomal RNA is filed under the name Streptomyces griseomycini. RNAcentral's name for it is "bacterial SSU rRNA". It matches the Rfam family "Bacterial small subunit ribosomal RNA", at positions 66 to 949 of the family's 1533-position model. The record is from RNAcentral. Lineage: Bacteria; Bacillati; Actinomycetota; Actinomycetes; Kitasatosporales; Streptomycetaceae.
ACGAUGAACCUCCUUCGGGAGGGGAUUAGUGGCGAACGGGUGAGUAACACGUGGGCAAUCUGCCCUGCACUCUGGGACAAGCCCUGGAAACGGGGUCUAAUACCGGAUACGACAUCCUCGGGCAUCCGAUGGAUGUGGAAAGCUCCGGCGGUGCAGGAUGAGCCCGCGGCCUAUCAGCUUGUUGGUGAGGUAACGGCUCACCAAGGCGACGACGGGUAGCCGGCCUGAGAGGGCGACCGGCCACACUGGGACUGAGACACGGCCCAGACUCCUACGGGAGGCAGCAGUGGGGAAUAUUGCACAAUGGGCGCAAGCCUGAUGCAGCGACGCCGCGUGAGGGAUGACGGCCUUCGGGUUGUAAACCUCUUUCAGCAGGGAAGAAGCGCAAGUGACGGUACCUGCAGAAGAAGCGCCGGCUAACUACGUGCCAGCAGCCGCGGUAAUACGUAGGGCGCGAGCGUUGUCCGGAAUUAUUGGGCGUAAAGAGCUCGUAGGCGGCUUGUCGCGUCGGUUGUGAAAGCCCGGGGCUUAACCCCGGGUCUGCAGUCGAUACGGGCAGGCUAGAGUUCGGUAGGGGAGAUCGGAAUUCCUGGUGUAGCGGUGAAAUGCGCAGAUAUCAGGAGGAACACCGGUGGCGAAGGCGGAUCUCUGGGCCGAUACUGACGCUGAGGAGCGAAAGCGUGGGGAGCGAACAGGAUUAGAUACCCUGGUAGUCCACGCCGUAAACGGUGGGCACUAGGUGUGGGCAACAUUUCCACGUUGUCCGUGCCGCAGCUAACGCAUUAAGUGCCCCGCCUGGGGAGUACGGCCGCAAGGCUAAAACUCAAAGGAAUUGACGGGGGGCCCGCACAAGCGGCGGAGCAUGUGGCUUAA